Molecule: long non-coding RNA, 427 nt
Organism: Oncorhynchus keta (chum salmon)
Lineage: Eukaryota; Metazoa; Chordata; Actinopteri; Salmoniformes; Salmonidae
Exons: 3
Source: RefSeq, a predicted model, not a curated record
AUACAUGUUUUCACUGACACUGAAAAGCUGUUUCACAGAGAUGGAGGAAUGGGGAGGUGAAGGGGUAGGGGCUACAGAGGGAAAACCAGAAUCCCCAGAAAGCAGCAUUUAUUGAGCAGGGUGGAGGGGGGGAGCGCACAAAAUGUUCCACCUUUUUGUUUUGAGUUUUACUGACUGGACAAGAGGAGAUAACAUCCUGCAAUUGUGUACGUAAUUCAUCCUCCAACCACAAGGGAGAGGAAAGCAACGGAGCGCAUCGUUCAAUUCUAUCGGUGUAUGGGCUGGGCAGCUGCCUGCUGACUCCUGAUUGCAGAGAGACGGCUAAGCUGAGAGGCUCCAGGAGGUAGAAGUGACACUGGAUUCCGAGAAGCUGCUUGGAAGAGAGGCUCGACACAUCAAAUACUACUCGGCAAACUCUCUCUCCCUC